CUUUCAUGAAUAGUUUUUCUCAACGACUCGCAUACUAAUGAUAUUAGCAAAUUAUUUAAAAUAAUAACCAUGAUAUACAACUUAUAUAAAUUAUUAUGUUAUAUUUGUACAUUUUAGCUAAACUAUUUGACAUCUAAUAUAAUUGUAAGUUCAUAAGCGUAGAUAUAUUUUCUAGAUAUGAGCUUAGCGGUAGGUAAUUUUGCUUAUCUAUUACCGUAAUAAGCUUGAUGACUGAGGUAGACAUCUGAUUUAUAUUUAAUCUAACUGUUUCUCUAUGUGAAUGGAUACAUAUAUUAACUCAGGUAGCACUACAACUAGCAAUGUAUGGAUGAAUUGAAGGAAGUAAAAGAAGGCAGACAAUCUUAUAGAAACUCUGCAUAUUGAAACCGCCAUGAUUGGCAAAGAAGUUGGAUGCAUCUUUGCAUUGGUGUGUUCUUAUCACCAAGCAGUAAUGUGAAGCAAGUUCAUUUGUUGACUAAGAACGGAUCAACACAAAUUAGUGAAGAUUUUGUUCACAAGAGAUGCAGGAUGGAGAGGUGGUAGAUUUCAAUAUGGCUUUGAUACUAUUUUUUCCACUUACAAUAUUUUGUAUGGAACAAGAAAAAACAAUGUAUGUGGUUACUAUUGUAAUUCAAGAAUUUAUUUCUAAAUAAUAAAUAUAUUUGUU
Molecule: long non-coding RNA, 667 nt
Filed under: Zea mays
Lineage: Eukaryota; Viridiplantae; Streptophyta; Magnoliopsida; Poales; Poaceae
Description: long non-coding RNA NONZMAT002206
Source: RNAcentral